This 3256-nucleotide long non-coding RNA is filed under the name Daphnia magna. Its description in RNAcentral is "uncharacterized LOC116923668". Lineage: Eukaryota; Metazoa; Arthropoda; Branchiopoda; Diplostraca; Daphniidae. The record is from RNAcentral.
GGUUUGCUUGCCUGCAGGCUUGAAUGAAAUUUUGCUGUUCAGAGACAUAUGCUGUUGUUACUAUGUCUCUCAGCAAUUGUAUACUUAACUGACCAGGAAAAAAUUGAGUUUUACUUUACAUAAAGCUGUGUUCAAGAAAGAAUAGGUUAAUGAUGCAAAGUUUUGAGCAAACUAACAAAAAUUCUGUCAGAGAAACAAAAGGGGAUAUCCAAGUACUUACAUCAUAGAAACAAUUCACCCCAAAAAUGGUAUGAACCUUACAAGCAUCAAGUUAGUUCACCCUAAAAUCUGAUUUCCAAAUUUGGACAGAACGGUCUUUCAAGAGAAAUGUGACAGUGGUUGACGAAGGAAUUGAAACGCAUCAAAUCUGAAAAGGCUACUCUACAUAUUGUGCAGUGCAGGACCUCAAGAGAAUUAUGUCAAUUCGACUUUGUAAGAAAGAACUUGAAGGCGAAAUCAAAAUUAGUCUUGCAGUUGCUGAAACAGAUGCCGUUGCAUGCUGAACCAUCACCAUCGUCAAAUUUAAUUCACCGAGGUGUUUGUUUUAACAGAAAUGGCGCCGUGGGUGCUAUGAAGUGCACCAAGUCAUCGUGCUACUAGUAGUAUCGAUCGCACUUCUGAAUUGUACCUUUGCAGCUGACGUAGCGUAAAACACGAGUGAGUACGGAAAACAUCAAGAUACCGACCAAGAAAACGAAGAGCAUCACGUCGAAGAGAAAACGCUGGUGUAGAGAAAGCUUGCGUGAAGCCGUCCGCAGAUGGGGGGCGCCUUUGUGACGGAUAAUGUAUUCAAUCCAGUAAAUGACACGAUCCAAUGGCGUUUCCAUUUGAUCGCGCAUCAACUCCGAUACUUUUUCCAUCUUUUCCGCGUAGCUGCGAAACAUUUUCAAAACAUCAGGAAUGGAUCAAAGGUUGAUCGAUAAAAACGGGUAAAACUAUCAAUGGGAUGUUAUGAUACACUGCCUCUUGGAUGCUGUUGACUCCGCCGUGCGUGAUGAACAGACGCAUUUUCGGGUGUCCAAGCAGGUCGGCUUGCGGAUGCGUUGGGGCAACCGGGCGAAUGUCGACAGGAAAAUGUGACGCACAUCAUCCGGAAUAUCGGAGUUUCUUAAAAGUGAACCGAAGCUGACGAUGAUGCAUCCGGCAUCACCAGAGUCACUCACGAACUUUUCUAAAUCGUGCGGGAGCGGUUUAGCUGGACCGAGGUUUAUACCGCCAGCUUGGAUCACUGCUGGCGUAGUUGCCAUCUGGUAAUUAAGGCCCAGGUUUUCGAUAUGCAACGUCUCGGCUGCGAGGUGAUCGGCCACGGGCAUUACGAUCCAACGCCAGUAAUAGACGGCCAAGAUGCCGGUCAGGGUGUUGUAUGUUCGCUGCCAAAAAUUCAUCUCAUCCUUAUAGGCUGAACCUACGUGGGAAUAAUGGUCGAAGGCGAGUGGUGAACUGACGGCAUCCAGAUGCCAAGGCAUGGGCAUGGCACCCAUGGUGUAGAUAAAGGGUGCAUCGAAUUUAUAGACUAGCGGAAGAAUGCAUUCGUUUACAGCUGCCUCUACGAUGAUCAAAUCGAAUUUUUCGUGUGAAGCCAUUAGCUGAUGAAAAACGGGAUCUCGAUAGAUGGUUUUACAAUAGAGCUCUACUCUCUUUGGCAAUUCAAAUAAAAGAUAGAAAUUUUUAGUUCCAGCGCUGAAAUCGACGUUGUGAUCGCUGCUGAGCGCAUCUAGUUCUGGUGACGAAAUGGCCCCGUUCCACCAAUCCCUUGAUUAUUGGUUUGACGAAGUUGGUGUGACUGCGUGUUGAGAUUGGCGACAAGAAGAGAAUUCUGUGAGCUGCGGCUAAUUCCGUGGACAAGAAUAAAAUUAAAAAGAAGAAAAUAGAGCUGAUUUGAAGUGAACUGAAGAAAAAUUGUGUUUUGAAUCCAAGGAACCUAGUCAAAUUGGAACCGAGAAAAGUCAUUCAAUCCAAGUGGCCAAACAUCAGAAUUUCUGUUUGGGGGUGGUAUCCAGCGGAUGAUUUCAAAAGAAAAUUUUAAGUGGAGCAUCGCAAGAAGGAAUCGAUGUCGGUUGGAGAAAACAGGAAGGAACAGAUCGAAGGACCGACCAUACAAAAUGUCUUCUAUCGAAUUUUGCUGAUAAAAACACAUCGGCAAAAUUAAUGAAAACGUUUUCCUACCUGCUCGACAUCCCAUCCGGGGACAACCCGCAUUCUAGACUGAGGCUAUUUCUCUUUAUUGAUGUUCCUAAAUACAUUACGGAAGGAUUUACCAAGUAUUAAGUCACAGCGACAUUGUUUUGGUACGGUAACAACUAAAAGCUACAGGGAAUCAUCUUAGCGCUACUGGUUUCAUAUCCACGGAAUAAGUAUUGCAUUUCCGUGUUUAGCUCUAUUAUUAAUUGGUUUUUUUAAAGUCGCGUUUCUGAAUUCUUCCUUUGCGGCUGAAGUAGCGCAAAACACGAGUGAGUACGGAAAACAUCAAGAUACCGACCAAGACAACGAAGAGCAUCACGUCGAAGAGAAAACGCUGGUGUAGAGAAAGCUUGCGUGAAGCCGUCCGCAGAUGGGGGGCGCCUUUGUGACGGAUAAUGUAUUCAAUCCAGUAAAUGACACGAUCCAAUGGCGUUUCCAUUUGAUCGCGCAUCAACUCCGAUACUUUUUCCAUCUUUUCCGCGUAGCUGCGAAACAUUUUCAAAACAUCAGAAUUGGAUCAAAGAAUUUCUUCUGUCAAAUUGUCCCAAUCGAGUCGAAUGGCAUAACCGUCAUCCUGGGCUUUUUGGGCGUUGAGAGGCUGAUCGACUAAAACGGGUAGAAUUAUCAGUGGGAUGUUAUGAUACACGGCCUCUUGGAUGCUGUUGACUCCGCCGUGCGUGAUGAACAGACGCAUUUUCGGGUGUCCAAGCAGGUCGGCUUGCGGAUGCGUUGGGGCAACCGGGCAAAUGUCGACAGGAAAAUGCGACGCACAUCAUCGGGAAUUUCAGAGUUCUUUAUAUAUGUACCAAAGCUAACGAUGAUACAUCCAGCGUCACCGGAGCCAUUCACAAAUGUUUCCAAGUCGUCUGGUAGCGGUUUAGCCGGACCGAGGUUUAUACCGCCAGCUUGGAUCACUACUGGCGUUGUUGCCAUCUGGUUUUCGAUUUGCAACAUCUCUGCGGCCAGGCGAUCGAUCACGGGCAUUACCAUCCAUCGCCAGUAAUAUAUGGCAACAAUGCCGGACAGGGUGUUGUACGUUCGCUGCCAAAAAUUCAUCUCAUCCGCAUAGUUUGAA